Gigaspora rosea is the source of this 72-nucleotide non-coding RNA. The record is from the annotation of a GenBank genome assembly. Lineage: Eukaryota; Fungi; Glomeromycota; Glomeromycetes; Diversisporales; Gigasporaceae.
UCUCGGUUAGUAUAGUGGUUAGUAUCCCCGCCUGUCACGCGGGAGACCGGGGUUCAAUUCCCCGACCGAGAG